This 253-nucleotide ribosomal RNA is filed under the name uncultured bacterium. RNAcentral's name for it is "partial 16S ribosomal RNA". It matches the Rfam family "Bacterial small subunit ribosomal RNA", at positions 524 to 776 of the family's 1533-position model. The record is from RNAcentral.
UACGGAGGGUCCAAGCGUUAUCCGGAUUUAUUAGGUUUAAAGGGUCCGCAGGCGGGAUUUUAAGUCAGUGGUGAAAGCCUACAGCUCAACUGUAGAACUGCCAUUGAUACUGGUUGACUUGAGUCAUAUGGAAGUAGAUAGAAUGUGUAGUGUAGCGGUGAAAUGCAUAGAUAUUACAUAGAAUACCAAUUGCGAAGGCAGAUUACUAAUAAUCAACUGACACUGAUGGACGAAAGCGUGGGUAGCGAACAGG